UACAGAGGUCUCAAGCGUUGUUCGGAUUCAUUGGGCGUAAAGGGUGUGUAGGUGGCGCGCUAAGUCGGGUGUGAAAUUUCGGAGCUUAACUCCGAAACUGCAUUCGAUACUGGCGUGCUUGAGGACUGGAGAGGAGACUGGAAUUCCUGGUGUAGCAGUGAAAUGCGUGGAUAUCAGGAGGAAUACCGAUGGCGAAGGCAGGUCUCUGGGUUAACACUGACGCUCAUGCACGAAAGCGUGGGGAGCAAACAGG
This 253-nucleotide ribosomal RNA is filed under the name uncultured bacterium. RNAcentral describes it as "partial 16S ribosomal RNA". It matches the Rfam family "Bacterial small subunit ribosomal RNA", at positions 524 to 776 of the family's 1533-position model. The record is from RNAcentral.